AUGGGAAAGGGGCAAAGGACUCCUCCGUGCCCUCCAGGGCCUGUCCCUGGGCAGCCAGGGCUCUUACCCAGGGCUGAAGCAGCAGCGCCUGGGGCCUCUGCAGCAGGAAGGGGGCAGCUGCAGAGCGGGGUCGUCACCAGAGGGGCUGGGAGUGGAGCCCCCAGCCCAGGAGCCUCUGCACACCCUCCGCUCGUGCCCGGGCACAGACCUGGCACACGCGGCCACCUCUCCGCUACGUUAGUACUACCAGCGCUCCCUUUCACGGGGCAGACGCGGGUGCUCCUGCACGUGCCUCAGCACCCAGUGCUGGGUUUGACACACCUCCCCCUUGGGUGCAGAACAGAUCCAGGGACCACCCACCCUCCCCCACAGGCAAGGGAAGUCCAACCCCAGCACGGUGCAGGUGGGUUAUUCCCCAGAUAUGUUUCCUGCCAGCAGUGGAGGAGCUGCCCCGGCUCACAGUCUCUAGAAAGCUGUAGGAGUCACAGCGGGAGCAACCCGGGUAACAGAGGGCCGCUCCGGCACGUCAGGGCGCUUUGCCAUCCUGUCAAAGGAGAGAGAGAAGGCACAGUGAAGUCGGCUCCCAGGAGACGGCAGCCCAGGAACCACGCACGCAAGGCUGGGUGCCUGCAGCGAGCAGGAGAGAAGCAACCCCGAGCACGUCCCCAGCCGUGCUCUGCCCGCACAGAGCCAUGUCGGCAGAGGCACCCGCAGCAGAGAAGCCCAGGGGAGGCCAGACCCUGCUCAGGGCUGCUCCCCACCCUCCUUCCAGACCCACAGGAAACACCAGCAUCAGGCAGAGGAGGGGCACUUGGCACCAGACAAACACAAGGGAACGUACAUGUCCAGAAACAGCCUCCAGUUCCUCCCGCAGCCCUUUCCCCAGCUGGCCCGUGGCACCCCCCCACUGCCCCAGCCAGAGGCAGCGCAGCCCCAGCAUGGGUGCCCCACACUCAGCUCUGCUCCCUGCAGGAGGACUCUGUGCUCGGGGCCUGCUCCUGCCCCAGGCUCUGGCAGGAAGCAGCAGGGCAGCCAGCAGGACAGGCCAACCCGGGGUGA
Long non-coding RNA from Apteryx haastii (Great spotted kiwi), 1059 nucleotides. NCBI's taxonomy places the organism in Eukaryota, Metazoa, Chordata, Aves, Apterygiformes, Apterygidae. The record is from Ensembl.